UAAAGUAUUUUAAUAGAAAAAAUUUAAAAAUUUAUAGUGAAUUAGUAUUGUGAAAGAAUUUUGAAAUAAAUUAAAUAUUAAUUUAUUUAAAAGUAAUUUUUAUUUAAUGUAUCUUGUGUAUCAGAGUUUAUUAAAAAAUAUUUUUUGUUAAUAAAAAUUCUCGAAUUUAAAAGAGAUAAUUAAUUAUAAAAGUUAUUGUGGCAUAAAUAUUUUUAAUAAUUAAUUGGAAAUGAUAUGUUAAUCGUUUUUAAAUAUAUCUAGUUUUUUUAGAAAAAAAUUUAAUUUUAAAUUUAUUAUAAAUUUAUUUAUUAAUUAAUUAAUAAAUAAAAAUUUUAAAUUUUAUAAUUUAAGGGAUAAUCUUUAAAUUAAAUAAAUAUAAUUGGGGUAAAUAUUUUGAAAAUUGUAUAAUUUAUAUUGUUAAUAAAAUUUAGUUUGUUAUAAAUAAUUUCAUUUAAAAUAAAAUUUAAUAAAAAAUUUAUUUUUAUAUAAAAAAAUAAUUUUUAAUUAAAUUAAAAUUAGUUAUAAUGAUAAAAUUAGUAUAUAAAAAUUAUUUAAUAAAUUUGAUUUAUUAAUUAAAUUAAUUAAAAGGAAUUCGGCAAAAAUUUAUAUUCACUUGUUUAUCAAAAACAUGUCUUUUUGUAAAUAAUAUAAAGUCUAAUCUGCCCACUGAUUUUAAAUAUUGAAGGGCUGCAGUAUAUUGACUGUACAAAGGUAGCAUAAUCAUUAGUCAUUUAAUUGAUGACUUGUAUGAAGGAUUGGAUGAGAUAUAAACUGUCUCUUAAUUAAUUUAUAGAAUUUAAUUUUUUAAUUAAAAAGUUAAAAUAUAUUAAAAAGACGAGAAGACCCUAUAGAGUUUUAUAUUUCAUUUGAUUAUAAUUAUUUAUAAAUUAAUAAAUUUAAAUAAGAUUAAAUAUUUUGUUGGGGUGAUAGAAAAAUAAAUUUAACUUUUUUUAAUUGUAAACAUAAAUAAGUGAAAAAUUGAUCCAAUUAUAUUGAUUAUAAGAAAAAAUUACCUUAGGGAUAACAGCGUAAUUUUUUUUUUUAGUUCAAAUAAAAAAAAGAGUUUGCGACCUCGAUGUUGGAUUAAGAUAAAAUUUAAAUGCAGAAGUUUAAAAUUUUGAUCUGUUCGAUCAUUAAAAUCUUACAUGAUCUGAGUUCAAACCGGUGUGAGCCAGGUUGGUUUCUAUCUUUUAAAAAAAAAAAUAUUUUAGUACGAAAGGAUUAAGUAUUUAAAUUAAAUUUUAAUUUAUGAAUUUUAUUAAUU
This 1264-nucleotide ribosomal RNA is filed under the name Bastilla crameri. Its description in RNAcentral is "16S ribosomal RNA". Lineage: Eukaryota; Metazoa; Arthropoda; Insecta; Lepidoptera; Erebidae. The record is from RNAcentral.